RNAcentral lists this small RNA (843 nucleotides) under Pan troglodytes (chimpanzee). RNAcentral describes it as "processed transcript". The record is from RNAcentral. Lineage: Eukaryota; Metazoa; Chordata; Mammalia; Primates; Hominidae.
GGGCCCGCCCCCGGCUCCAUCUUGCGGGAGACCGGGUUGGGCUGUGACGCUGCUGCCCGGGUCAGCCUGCAGGUCAGGAGUCAUCUUUUCCCCCUUCUGGUCAGUAUCCUUAUCCUAGUGGCUUUCCUCCAAUGGGAGGAGGUGCCUACCCACAAGUGCCAAGUAGUGGCUACCCAGGAGCUGGAGGCUACCCUGCGCCUGGAGGUUAUCCAGCCCCUGGAGGCUAUCCUGGUGCCCCACAGCCAGGGGGAGCUCCAUCCUAUCCCGGAGUUCCUCCAGGCCAAGGAUUUGGAGUCCCACCAGGUGGAGCAGGCUUUUCUGGGUAUCCACAGCCACCUUCACAGUCUUAUGGAGGUGGUCCAGCACAGGUUCCACUACCUGGUGGCUUUCCUGGAGGACAGAUGCCUUCUCAGUAUCCUGGAGGACAACCUACUUACCCUAGUCAGCCUGCCACAGUGACUCAGGGCACUCAAGGAACUAUCCGACCAGCUGCCAACUUCGAUGCUAUAAGAGAUGCAGAAAUUCUUCGUAAGGCAAUGAAGGGUUUUGGGACAGAUGAGCAGGCAAUUGUGGAUGUGGUGGCCAACCGUUCCAAUGAUCAGAGGCAAAAAAUUAAAGCAGCAUUUAAGACCUCCUAUGGCAAGGAUUUAAUCAAAGAUCUCAAAUCAGAGUUAAGUGGAAAUAUGGAAGAACUGAUCCUGGCCCUCUUCAUGCCUCCUACAUAUUACGAUGCCUGGAGCUUACGGAAAGCAAUGCAGGGAGCAGGAACUCAGGAACGUGUAUUGAUUGAGAUUUUGUGCACAAGAACAAAUCAGGAAAUCCAAGAAAUUGUCAGAUGUUAUC